UCCAGACUCCUACGGGAGGCAGCAGUGGGGGAUAUUGCACAAUGGGGGGAACCCUGAUGCAGCGACGCCGCGUGGGUGAAGGAGCGUUUCGGCGCGUAAAGCCCUAUCGGCAGGGAAGAAGGAGGACGGUACCUGACUAAGAAGCCCCGGCUAACUACGUGCCAGCAGCCGCGGUAAUACGUAGGGGGCAAGCGUUAUCCGGAUUUACUGGGUGUAAAGGGGGCGCAGACGGCAGCGCAAGCCAGGAGUGAAAGCCCGGGGCCCAACCCCGGGACUGCUCUUGGAACUGCGCGGCUGGAGUGCAGGAGGGGCAGGCGGAAUUCCUGGUGUAGCGGUGAAAUGCGUAGAUAUCAGGAGGAACACCGGUGGCGAAGGCGGCCUGCUGGACUGCGACUGACGUUGAGGCCCGAAAGCGUGGGGAGCAAACAGGAUUAGAUACCCGCGUAGGG
RNAcentral lists this ribosomal RNA (449 nucleotides) under uncultured bacterium. RNAcentral describes it as "partial 16S ribosomal RNA". It matches the Rfam family "Bacterial small subunit ribosomal RNA", at positions 330 to 795 of the family's 1533-position model. The record is from RNAcentral.